Molecule: non-coding RNA, 258 nt
Organism: Camelina sativa (false flax)
Lineage: Eukaryota; Viridiplantae; Streptophyta; Magnoliopsida; Brassicales; Brassicaceae
Source: RefSeq, a predicted model, not a curated record
GUGUUGACAUCUCACAGAAGGGCCUUGCCCGUGCUGCUAAGAUGCUACGUUUGAAAUUAAACAAGGGACCUUGCAACCUCAAAUCUACUACACUCUAUGAUGGCUCCAUCCUCGAGUUUGAUUCUAGGCUGCAAGACAUUGACGUCGGCACUUGCUUAGAGGUCAUUGAACACAUGGAGGAAGAUCAAGCCUGUCAAUUUGGGAAAACAGUUCUAACCUUGUUCCGCCCGAAACUUCUGAUUAUCUCCACACCAAACU